CAGCCGCCGCGGUAACACGGAGGGAGCUAGCGUUGUUCGGAAUCACUGGGCGUAAAGCGCACGUAGGCGGCUAUUCAAGUCAGGGGUGAAAGCCCGGGGCUCAACCCCGGAACUGCCUUUGAAACUAGAUAGCUUGGAUCUUGGAGAGGCGAGUGGAAUUCCGAGUGUAGAGGUGAAAUUCGUAGAUAUUCGGAAGAACACCAGUGGCGAAGGCGACUCGCUGGACAAGUAUUGACGCUGAGGUGCGAAAGCGUGGGGAGCAAACAGGAUUAGAUACCCCAGUAGUCCCUGUCUCUUAUAA
This 301-nucleotide ribosomal RNA is filed under the name uncultured bacterium. RNAcentral describes it as "partial 16S ribosomal RNA". It matches the Rfam family "Bacterial small subunit ribosomal RNA", at positions 509 to 809 of the family's 1533-position model. The record is from RNAcentral.